RNAcentral lists this ribosomal RNA (481 nucleotides) under uncultured bacterium. RNAcentral's name for it is "bacterial SSU rRNA". It matches the Rfam family "Bacterial small subunit ribosomal RNA", at positions 32 to 521 of the family's 1533-position model. The record is from RNAcentral.
AAUCAACGCUGGCGGCGUGCCUCAGACAUGCGAGUCGAACGAUUAAAGCUCUCUUCGGAGAGUGCAUAAAGUGGCGCACGGGUGAGUAACACGUAAGUAAUCUACCUUCGAGUGGGGAAUAACGUCCGGAAACGGACGCUAAUACCGCAUAACGCAGCGGCAUCGCAAGAUGACAGUUGUUAAAGAUUUAUCGCUUGAAGAGGAGCUUGCGGCAGAUUAGCUUGUUGGUAAGGUAACGGCUUACCAAGGCUACGAUCUGUAUCCGGUCUAAGAGGACGGUCGGACACACUGACACUGAAUAACGGGUCAGACUCCUACGGGAGGCAGCAGUCGGGAAUUUUGGGCAAUGGGGGAAACCCUGACCCAGCAACGCCGCGUGAAGGAUGAAGUAAUUUCGGUAUAGUAAACUUACGAAAGAAUAGGAAGAAUUAAUGACGGUACUAUUUAUAAGCUCCGCUAACUCCGUGCCAGCAGCCGCGGU